This is a long non-coding RNA of Lepidothrix coronata (blue-crowned manakin), 334 nucleotides long. RefSeq lists it as uncharacterized. The transcript is spliced from 4 exons. NCBI's taxonomy places the organism in Eukaryota, Metazoa, Chordata, Aves, Passeriformes, Pipridae. The record is from RefSeq and is a predicted model, not a curated record.
GGCCUCUACUGGCUUUAUAUUAUCUCUGUGCUGUGCUGAGAGAUAUUGCAUGGGAGGAAUAACAACUGCUCUGAUGGCAUUUGCUGGGAUCCCCUUGACGGUUGAGCAGGCAAGCUGGUGCUCCCAGUGGGCUGGCCUGUGUUUCUUUGAGUAAAUCUACGGGAAGAUACAGGGCUGAAAACAAAGACAUCCAAACCUUGAGCCAUUUAGAAGAGGAAGAAGCCAAAAUCUGUGCCAGAGGUUUGACUGCUGGGUUUACUCAUGGCUUCAGGUCAGGAUGGGCACUGCUAGAUAAUGAAGGCAAGAUCGGUUUCGUGGGGCUUGCUCUAUUGGG